This is a long non-coding RNA of Triticum aestivum (bread wheat), 4344 nucleotides long. RefSeq lists it as uncharacterized. The record is from RefSeq and is a predicted model, not a curated record. NCBI's taxonomy places the organism in Eukaryota, Viridiplantae, Streptophyta, Magnoliopsida, Poales, Poaceae. The transcript is spliced from 2 exons.
CAUCAUUAUGCCCAGUUGAAGUAUCAAUAUGGCAUGGACCAACCUAUUCCCUGAAUGAACCAAAUUGAUUUCAUUCAGGUAGCUCUGUGAAUUUAUGUUAAUUUAUUUCAAAUGAUGAGCUUAUAGUAGUAUGAUGUCUAAUUUAUAGCUAGGCAUUCACAGUAAUCAGUAUUCGUUGUAAGCUUCCACAAAACUUUGAAGCUAUCUGUUCAUGUUAUUUGAGCACAAACUGUUUUGAAGUUCAUCUGGUGACUGGUGCAUAGAAGUGAUGAUUCAGCACCAAUCUAGACAUCUACCUGGAAGAGCCUCUGACUGAGCUUUUCGCUGGUCAUAAACUAAUAAUUCUGUCUGAAAACUUACAGUAUGCUGUACGCAGUGCUUUCUUAUUUUUCUUUUUCAUCACAUUCUGAUAACGGCUGGAAUGGUUACCGAUUUUACUUUUCCAGUGCAUGCACUGUUGCUUAUAUUAACCUACUGCGCAGUAUGGUCAACAUGCUAAUCACGAUUCUUAAAAGUGUUGGAUCAUUGUUUUUCUUGGAUGAAAUUUGAGGUGUUGGGUAGUUGCCACAGCCUCAGCGGGCCAAAACAAGGGCAAAAAAGUUCUUAGUUACUUUUCUGAUAAGUUUUGUUAGUUGCUUUUUUGAUAAGUUAAAAAUAUAUUGCGGUCUAGUGGAUCUUACUAAGUUACUAGUGACUCAUGAAGCAAUACUCAUACCACACUUCAGUAGAGCUACUUUAUUCUUUAUCGUUUGCAUUUUCCCAGAAAGUUCUGAGUCUUGUCUUUGUGCUAAUCACACAUGGCUCAGAAGGCAGAACGCAGAACAGAUCAACUGGUCCAGUUUACAGAACUGUUCUGCUCCUAUCGGUGAAAAUAAUGAAGACAUGAAUCAAUUUUGACAUGUACUUGACUGUGGUAUAAAUAACUAUGGGUAAUAUUUGAAGAUAACCUCAAAGGAUGCUUCAAUUUGUUUGUGACUUGUUCUGAAUUCAUUAGAGGCAAAUCAUCUACAGUAGAAUGAGAUACCUUGGUAAUAAUGGACAAGAUGAGAUCUGUGUCACUUUGAAUAAGCGGGAAUGCUGGUUGGCAUGUCAGAGAAAUAGAAUAAUGAGAAUCAUAUGGUUUGCUUGGGAUGAUAAGCGAAAAAAGCUCUAAGGUUUCCCUUCCUGCAUCCUUCUAUCUGACACCACUAAGUACUAACUGUGCACUAAUCAGAAUUAUCUGUUUCUACAUCAGGUCACCAAGAAUAGCUGUAUUCCGAACAUGAACAAUAAAGAUAGUGAUGUAUUUAGUCUUAUAUGUAGCUAAGUAACCUUUGAUGUUUUCUGACCUUUUUCCUUAAAAAGGAUUCAAUAUCAACUGUUUGUUUAGGUUAGCUACCGAGGGGACUUGAAUUUUAUUAUGCUAGAAUGGCUUACACUAGCUGGUUUAGUUGUGCUCUUAGGCCUUCCCCUGAUGGCUGACAUGCAGUAGGUAUGUUAAUCUACCCUUUAGCUGAGCCUUAUAGUGUUGUAUUGGAUUCAUCCCACUGAUUUGCACGAAGCAUCUAGACCCAAGACCUAAGAGGCUAGUAUGUGACAAUUUAUUGCUUGAAUUUUCAUUGUAGAGAAUCUGAUUUACUGUCUGACAUAAAAUCUCUAAUUUGAUCCUACUCAUCUUUCAGCUCUGUUGUAUUGAAUUGACAAUAUAGUUGACUUUCCAGACCUUAUCUGCUGAUGUCAUGACCUCCUUUGGUUUCAUCAUGAAUGGCUACUCAGGGGAUUCUUUGACGUGAAGGGGGUCACCCCUACAUGGCUAAACCUAAUUUAUGGAUUAGUCUGGUAAGAAUAUUGUAUCUAUGUUCCAGAGUUUAUCUUUCUAAGUAAACACGGGACGUUAUACAUCUGUUUUACUCUCCUUAAGCACGACACACCUAAUUUCCAACCCUGAACAUGAUAUAUAUUUUUUGAACGGAAAAUUAUAGGGGAGGCUCGACAGUACAAAUUUAGUAAAACAAGUACCCAACUUUGUACUAAACCAGAGACAAGUAAUAUGGAUCGGAGGGAGUAGUAAUAUUUACAAGAGAGGGCUGUACAGGGGGAGGGGGAGAAGAACUGCUAAUCUGGUAAGCCUGCUCAUCCUUCAUUCUGUAAGAGAGAAGGAAAGGGUCUCUUUUAAUGAGAAAAGGCCAGGAGGCUAAACUAGGAGGAAUAUUAUGAAAAAAUUCUAGCAUUUCUUUGUUUCCAAAUGUUCCAAGCUGCUACAAGAAAGGCUUCUCUGGAGAGAGGUUUGCUGAGAGGAAGGAGCAAGGUAAAGAUUAAUUGAGGCCCAGCAGCCCCUGCUGAAGGAGCAGUUCCAGAAAAUAUGAUCACGAGUUUCAAGGGUCCUCGAGGAGAAGGGAAUGGCCAUGUUGAUGGGGUCGUCUUUCAAGCAUGUCUUGAGUAUUUAGUCUGUGUCAUUAAAGAGCAAACAGGCAAAAGCUUUGAGUUUGGCUGAGCAUUUGGAUUUCCACAUCCACGAGAAGAUGCUGUAUAUUUGGUGGCAUAAUAGCCAUUCCCCAAUUAGUCAGCUCUACAGCAGCUAUAUGAAUUACCCACAUAACCAUUGGUAAGAAGUAACUAACUUGGUUUAAAACAUAAAUCUAGUAUCUAUUCCCUGUCUGCCUGCCUGCCUGCCUGCCUGGAUUUGAUAGAAUCAACCAGGCACAGCAUGUUCCAUGGCCAUCGCCAGUGGUAACCAAUCAAUCACUAUGGUGGGAACCACAAACCUUGGUUCUUGUCUCUGACGUCACUGAUUGGUGCAUUUCUGUGAGGGCACUCACUAUGUGCAUCCCUCAGCCAUCUAUUAAAAGAGCUAACAUUCAGAAAGUUCGUUGGAUUGCUCCACUUGAUUGCGGCCAACGAUUAAAUCCCACUUUGGUGGAGCAGUGGAGCCCCACGAUUGGUGGUAGUGAUUUCCUUGCUGUCGUACUGGGAGCACCUGUCCACUGAUUAUACGUACUAGUUGAUUUUUUGGAAGAUUUUAAUGUAUAUCCAGGGAUGGUCCAGCUAGGACUCGAGAGUGCUAAUCUAGUAAUCUUACUUGGAAGUUGGAACUGAGAUCUGGUGAUCAUGUCAACUUUAAUAGCAUCGAGAUGGGAGAUGAUUUAAUUAGAUAGAGGACUUUCUAAUCUACACUCCAGGGUUGGGAAAUGCAACACUUCGGAUAAGCAUGAAGUAGUGGCUGAAUAGGAAGGCCACAUUGCUCUAGCUCCAUAUUCUUAAAGGCAUAGCUUUAGAGGUGGAGUGUGCUUCUUCAGCUUUUUGUAAAGGCUUAGGCUACCUUUAUAUUUUAUGGUAGAUUCAGCCCACAUGAUCAGUUCCUGAGUUUUAUAUUUGUUGGUAAAUAUCUCUUGCUGAAAGCACUGCUCGGCGAGGAAGGACCUAUUAUACGCGCUAUUGGAUAAAACUGAAAGGUCUAAUGUCAAUGGAAUUAUGGGACAGCUAGUGAAAAUCGAAUGACAAAUCAAAGAGAUAAUGAGGUAGGAUCUGCAUCUAGUGAAAAGAGAUAUGAAGUUUACGAGUAUAGAUGCCCUGGAAUUGGAUGUUGAUCAUAGCUUCUGAAGUGCCUUUUGUAAAUGCCCUCCUUUUUACAAUGUAGGUUUUAACAUUGUUCUCGUGAGUAAAUAACUGCUUUUGAUAACAGUGGGCCUGGGAGUGGAAUGGGAGUUUCUCUAGAGAGAGAAUGUAGAUGAAAUUGACAUGUAGCGAGGCAACAACGACCUCAUUGUGAAUCCCAGCAAUUGAGCACUCGACACAGUAAAGUUUAGUUUACUCUCAUUGUCCUUUCUCCAAUAAUGCAUUGUACGCUGGCCAAUUUAAAAUGCCACCUUGCAGAUUCUAGGUCCUUGCACUAUGAUUUACCUGGCAAAGCACCUGCAGACAUCAGCAUCCUCACGAGCAUAUAAGGCAACCCUUCCCUCUCCUCUUGUCCACAGCCCCUACCGACUAUGGAAGGCGCAUGGCUCGAGCAUCUACAUGGCUCUUGAGAGCGGAAGCAGGGUCGGGAUGAACCGCAAAGCUGAGCGCUUCAGCUUUGCGGUGCCUCUCCUGACCUCCCAGGUGGUCGCCUGAGGUACGCAAGAAUCGGCAAGUCACAAAACGGCAAUGGUGAACUCCGGCAGGAGUCCACCCCCCUUUUAUCCUUUUCUCUCCAUUCAGUUGUAUCAGGUGGAAGUCGAAUAAUCGGAAGUCUCUGUGUGUGAUGAAUCAAUGGAUGCUUCAAGUCCAUGUUUUGUUUUUCUCUUCCUUUAUUAUGUGUACUCUGGAAACACUACUAUAAAUGGCUGAUGUUCAUCUAGCAAAACCACUUUAUGGUGUCUUGUUUGA